GAUGAACGCUGGCGGCGUGCCUAAUACAUGCAAGUCGUACGGAAAGGCCCUUCGGGGUACUCGAGUGGCGGACGGCUGAGUAACGCGUGGGAACGUGCCCCACAGUGAGGGAUAACGCACCGAAAGGUGUGCUAAUACCGCAUAUGGUCUUCGGAUUAAAGCUUCGGCGCUUUGGGAGCGGCCCGCGUACGAUUAGAUAGUUUGUGAGGUAAUGGCUCACCAAGUCGACGAUCGUUAGCUGGUCUGAGAUGAUGAUCAGCCAGACUGGGACUGAGACACGGCCCAGACUCCUACGGGAGGCAGCAGUAAGGAAUCUUCCACAAUGGGGGCAACCCUGAUGGAACAACGCCGCGUGCAGGAUGAAGGUUUUCGGAUCGUAAACUGCUUUUAUAAGUGAAGAAUAUGACGGUAACUUAUGAAUAAGGAUCGGCUAACUACGUGCCAGCCGCCGCUGUAA
RNAcentral lists this ribosomal RNA (457 nucleotides) under uncultured bacterium. Its description in RNAcentral is "partial 16S ribosomal RNA". It matches the Rfam family "Bacterial small subunit ribosomal RNA", at positions 28 to 523 of the family's 1533-position model. The record is from RNAcentral.